AGGACGAACGCUGGCGGCGUGCUUAACACAUGCAAGUCGAGCGGUAAGGCCUUUCGGGGUACACGAGCGGCGAACGGGUGAGUAACACGUGGGUGAUCUGCCCUGCACUCUGGGAUAAGCCUGGGAAACUGGGUCUAAUACCGGAUAUGACCUGCUCUCGCAUGGGGGUGGGUGGAAAGAUUUAUCGGUGCAGGAUGGGCCCGCGGCCUAUCAGCUUGUUGGUGGGGUAAUGGCCUACCGAAGGCGACGACGGGUAGCCGACCUGAGAGGGUGACCGGCCACGACUGGGACUGAGACACGGCCCAGACUCCUACGGGAGGCAGCAGUGGGGAAUAUGCACAAUGGGCGAAAGCCUGAUGCAGCGACGCCGCGUGAGGAGUGAAGGCCGUUCGGUUGGUAACCGUACGUUUCUAGCGAGGACGAAGCGCGAGUGACGGUACGUCGCAGAAGAAGACACCGGACGUAACUACGUA
This 473-nucleotide ribosomal RNA is filed under the name uncultured soil bacterium. Its description in RNAcentral is "bacterial SSU rRNA". It matches the Rfam family "Bacterial small subunit ribosomal RNA", at positions 26 to 507 of the family's 1533-position model. The record is from RNAcentral.